Molecule: ribosomal RNA, 437 nt
Filed under: uncultured Planctomycetota bacterium
Lineage: Bacteria; Pseudomonadati; Planctomycetota
Description: bacterial SSU rRNA
Rfam family: Bacterial small subunit ribosomal RNA
Source: RNAcentral
GUGACGAAGCGACGCCGCGUGGGUGAGGAAGGCCUUCGGGUUGUAAAGCUCUGUCAGGAGUUAAGAAAUGUAAGUGCGCUAAUAUCGCAUUUAUUUGACAAAGGCUCCAAAGGAAGCCACGGCUAACUCUGUGCCAGCAGCCGCGGUAAUACAGAGGUGGCAAGCGUUGUUCGGAAUUAUUGGGCGUAAAGAGCACGUAGGUGGGUUUGUAAGUCAGAUGUGAAAGCCUUCUGUUCAACGGAAGAAUUGCAUCUGAAACUACAAGUCUUGAGUGUAGGAGGGGAGAAUGGAACUUCUGGUGGAGCGGUGAAAUGCGUAGAUAUCAGAAGGAACGCCGGCGGCGAAAGCGAUUCUCUGGCCUAUUACUGACACUCAGUGUGCGAAAGCUAGGGGAGCAAACGGGAUUAGAUACCCCGGUAGUCCUAGCUGUAAACGAU